This 412-nucleotide ribosomal RNA is filed under the name uncultured bacterium. Its description in RNAcentral is "bacterial SSU rRNA". It matches the Rfam family "Bacterial small subunit ribosomal RNA", at positions 505 to 916 of the family's 1533-position model. The record is from RNAcentral.
GUGUCAGCAGCCGCGGUAAUACGGAGGGUGCGAGCGUUAAUCGGAAUUACUGGGCGUAAAGGGCACGCAGGCGGUUAAUUAAGUUGGAUGUGAAAUCCCCGGGCUUAACCUGGGAAUGGCAUUCAAGACUGGUUAGCUAGAGUCUUGUAGAGGGGGGUAGAAUUCCAUGUGUAGCGGUGAAAUGCGUAGAGAUGUGGAGGAAUACCGGUGGCGAAGGCGGCCCCCUGGACAGAGACUGACGCUCAUGUGCGAAAGCGUGGGGAGCAAACAGGAUUAGAUACCCUGGUAGUCCACGCUGUAAACGAUGUCGAUUUGGAGGUUGUGGUCAUGAACUGUGGCCUCCGGAGCUAACGCGUUAAAUCGACCGCCUGGGGAGUACGGCCGCAAGGUUAAAACUUAAAUGAAUUGACGG